This 253-nucleotide ribosomal RNA is filed under the name uncultured bacterium. RNAcentral's name for it is "partial 16S ribosomal RNA". It matches the Rfam family "Bacterial small subunit ribosomal RNA", at positions 524 to 776 of the family's 1533-position model. The record is from RNAcentral.
UACGGAGGGAGCUAGCGUUGUUCGGAAUAACUGGGCGUAAAGCGCGCGUAGGCGGAUUUGUAAGUCAGGGGUGAAAGCCCUGGGCUCAACCUCGGAACUGCCUUUGAUACUGCAAGGCUGGAGUACGGUAGAGGUGAGUGGAAUUCCGAGUGUAGAGGUGAAAUUCGUAGAUAUUAGGAGGAACACCAGUGGCGAAGGCGGCUCACUGGACCGGUGCUGACGCUGAGGUGCGAAAGCGUGGGGAGCAAACAGG